Molecule: ribosomal RNA, 253 nt
Filed under: uncultured bacterium
Lineage: Bacteria
Description: partial 16S ribosomal RNA
Rfam family: Bacterial small subunit ribosomal RNA
Source: RNAcentral
UACGGGGGGGGCAAGCGUUGUUCGGAAUUACUGGGCGUAAAGGGCUCGUAGGUGGCCAACUAAGUCGGGCGUGAAAUCCCACGGCUCAACCGUGGAAGUGCAUUCGAAACUACAGGGCUAGAGUUCUGGAGAGGAAGGUGGAAUGCUUGGUGUAGAGGUGAAAUUCGUAGAUAUCAAGCGGAACACCGGUGGCGAAGGCGGCCUUCUGGACAGUAACUGACGCUGAGACGCGAAAGCGUGGGGAGCAAACAGG